This 108-nucleotide ribosomal RNA is filed under the name Carlito syrichta (Philippine tarsier). The record is from RNAcentral. Lineage: Eukaryota; Metazoa; Chordata; Mammalia; Primates; Tarsiidae.
GUCUACAGCCAUACCACCUUGAACACGCCUGAUCUCGGAAGUUAAGCAGGGUCGGGCCUAGUCAGUACUUGGAUGGGAGACCGCCAGGGAUACCAGGUGCUGUAGGCU